GAUGAACGCUGGCUGCGUGCCUAAUACAUGCAAGUCGAGCGAACGGACGAGAAGCUUGCUUCUCUGAUGUUAGCGGCGGACGGGUGAGCAACACGUGGAUAACCUACCUAUAAGACUGGGAUAACUUCGGGAAACCGGAGCUAAUACCGGAUAAUAUUUUGAACCGCAUGGUUCAAAAGUGAAAGACGGUCUUGCUGUCACUUAUAGAUGGAUCCGCGCUGCAUUAGCUAGUUGGUAAGGUAACGGCUUACCAAGGCAACGAUGCAUAGCCGACCUGAGAGGGUGAUCGGCCACACUGGAACUGAGACACGGUCCAGACUCCUACGGGAGGCAGCAGUAGGGAAUCUUCCGCAAUGGGCGAAAGCCUGACGGAGCAACGCCGCGUGAGUGAUGAAGGUCUUCGGAUCGUAAAACUCUGUUAUUAGGGAAGAACAUAUGUGUAAGUAACUGUGCACAUCUUGACGGUACCUAAUCAGAAAGCCACGGCUAACUACGUGCCAGCAGCCGCGGUAAUACGUAGGUGGCAAGCGUUAUCCGGAAUUAUUGGGCGUAAAGCGCGCGUAGGCGGUUUUUUAAGUCUGAUGUGAAAGCCCACGGCUCAACCGUGGAGGGUCAUUGGAAACUGGAAAACUUGAGUGCAGAAGAGGAAAGUGGAAUUCCAUGUGUAGCGGUGAAAUGCGCAGAGAUAUGGAGGAACACCAGUGGCGAAGGCGACUUUCUGGUCUGUAACUGACGCUGAUGUGCGAAAGCGUGGGGAUCAAACAGGAUUAGAUACCCUGGUAGUCCACGCCGUAAACGAUGAGUGCUAAGUGUUAGGGGGUUUCCGCCCCUUAGUGCUGCAGCUAACGCAUUAAGCACUCCGCCUGGGGAGUACGACCGCAAGGUUGAAACUCAAAGGAAUUGACGGGGACCCGCACAAGCGGUGGAGCAUGUGGUUUAAUUCGAAGCAACGCGAAGAACCUUACCAAAUCUUGACAUCCUUUGACAACUCUAGAGAUAGAGCCUUCCCCUUCGGGGGACAAAGUGACAGGUGGUGCAUGGUUGUCGUCAGCUCGUGUCGUGAGAUGUUGGGUUAAGUCCCGCAACGAGCGCAACCCUUAAGCUUAGUUGCCAUCAUUAAGUUGGGCACUCUAAGUUGACUGCCGGUGACAAACCGGAGGAAGGUGGGGAUGACGUCAAAUCAUCAUGCCCCUUAUGAUUUGGGCUACACACGUGCUACAAUGGACAAUACAAAGGGCAGCGAAACCGCGAGGUCAAGCAAAUCCCAUAAAGUUGUUCUCAGUUCGGAUUGUAGUCUGCAACUCGACUACAUGAAGCUGGAAUCGCUAGUAAUCGUAGAUCAGCAUGCUACGGUGAAUACGUUCCCGGGUCU
Molecule: ribosomal RNA, 1372 nt
Filed under: uncultured bacterium
Lineage: Bacteria
Description: bacterial SSU rRNA
Rfam family: Bacterial small subunit ribosomal RNA
Source: RNAcentral